RNAcentral lists this unclassified non-coding RNA (380 nucleotides) under soil metagenome. RNAcentral's name for it is "partial contains 5.8S ribosomal RNA, internal transcribed spacer 2, and large subunit ribosomal RNA". The stretch from base 1 to 120 matches the Rfam family "5.8S ribosomal RNA", at positions 35 to 154 of the family's 154-position model. The record is from RNAcentral.
GAUGAAGAACGUAGCGAAAUGCGAUAAGUAAUGUGAAUUGCAGAAUUCAGUGAAUCAUCGAAUCUUUGAACGCACCUUGCACCCUUUGGCAUUCCGAAGGGUAUGCUCGUUUGAGUGUCAUUGUACUCUCACACUUCCAAUCUUUGGAUUGGGAGCAGUGGACUUGGGUGUUGCUGCUUACUGUGGCUCACCUCAAAUCGAUUCGUGCACCUCUUGGUUGGACAUAGUACGGCGUGAUAAGUGUCUUCGCCGGCACCUCAGUAGAGGGUGGCUGAUCAGGAGCUCUGUGCUUUCCAACUGUCUUCAGACAACAACUGACAACUUGACCUCAAAUCGAGUAGGACCACCCGCUGAACUUAAGCAUAUCAAUAAGCGGAGGA